CUCUUCCCAUUCCGAACAGAGAAGUUAAGCUCAGUCACGCCGAUGGUACUGCGUAACAGUGGGAGAGUAGGUAGUCGCCGUUU
This 83-nucleotide ribosomal RNA is filed under the name Bacteroides stercoris. Lineage: Bacteria; Pseudomonadati; Bacteroidota; Bacteroidia; Bacteroidales; Bacteroidaceae. The record is from RNAcentral. RNAcentral also lists the same sequence under 1 other name.